RNAcentral lists this long non-coding RNA (269 nucleotides) under Jatropha curcas. Its description in RNAcentral is "long non-coding RNA (JCUR_LNC003426)". Lineage: Eukaryota; Viridiplantae; Streptophyta; Magnoliopsida; Malpighiales; Euphorbiaceae. The record is from RNAcentral.
UAUUUUUGGAUCUGGUUUGUUACCCGCCUUGAACCAUAAGGCAAGAGCGAGUCUUUUAUUUAUUUGAUUUAUUUUUCGGUUUGUUGCCCGCCUUUAACCAUAAGGCAAGAGCGGGUUAUUUAUUUAUUUCAUUUAAUAUUUUUGAUUCGGUUUGUUACCCGCCUUUAACCAUAAGGCAAGAGCGGGUCUUUUAUUUAUUUGGUUUAAUUGCUUUGAUUUAAUUGCUUUAAUUCAAAUUAUUGCUAUGUGAUAAUUAGAUUUGUUUGGGA